AAAGAAAGCUGUGAAAACAGUGAAGAAAAAAGACAAAGGAAAAUCUGAGGAUUCAGAAAAGAAGAUGUCUCCAGAAAAAGAGUUUAAAAUAAAAGAAGAUUUGGAUCAAGUACAGGUAACUCUCUCUAUGCAUCAAUAUUUGAUUAAUACUUGCUCUGAUAGUCAUAUAUAGAGAAACAUUAUUACGUAUGUGAUUAUAGGGUAUAUAUGUCUGUGUGUGUGUAUGUGUCUCUGUGUGUGUGU
RNAcentral lists this small RNA (243 nucleotides) under Pongo abelii (Sumatran orangutan). RNAcentral describes it as "processed transcript". Lineage: Eukaryota; Metazoa; Chordata; Mammalia; Primates; Hominidae. The record is from RNAcentral.